CGCGUGUAGCAGUGAAAUGCGUAGAGAUGUGGAGGAAUACCGAUGGCGAAGGCAGCCCCCUGGGAUAGAACUGACGCUCAGGCACGAAAGCGUGGGUAGCAAACAGGAUUAGAUACCCUGGUAGUCCACGCCCUAAACGAUGUCUACUUGCUGUUGGGGGUAAAACCUAAGUAGCGAAGCUAACGCGAGAAGUAGACCGCCUGGGGAGUACGGUCGCAAGAUUAAAACUCAAAGGAAUUGACGGGGACCCGCACAAGCGGUGGAUGAUGCGGAUUAAUUCGAUGCAACGCGAAAAACCUUACCUGCUCUUGACAUGUUAGAAAUCCUGCAGAGAUGUGGGAGUGCCUUCGGGAAUCUAAACACAGGUGCUGCAUGGCUGUCGUCAGCUCGUGUCGUGAGAUGUUGUCUUAAGUGACGCAACGAGCGCAACCCUUGUCAUUAGUUGCCAUCAUUAAGUUGGGCACUCUAAUGAUACUGCCGGUGAUAAACCGGAGGAAGGUGGGGAUGACGUCAAGUCCUCAUGGCCCUUAUGAGCAGGGCUUCACGCGUCAUACAAUGGUCGGUACAAACGGUUGCGAAGCAGUGAUGCGGAGCUAAUCCGAGAAAGCCGAUCUCAGUCCGGAUUGUAGUCUGCAACUCGACUACAUGAAGUCGGAAUCGCUAGUAAUCGCNNNUCAGCAUGCUGCGGUGAAUACGUUCCCGGGUCUUGUACACACCGCCCGUCACACCAUGGGNNUG
This 738-nucleotide ribosomal RNA is filed under the name uncultured bacterium. RNAcentral describes it as "bacterial SSU rRNA". It matches the Rfam family "Bacterial small subunit ribosomal RNA", at positions 670 to 1412 of the family's 1533-position model. The record is from RNAcentral.